ACAGAGAUUUGUCUGCCUCUGCCUCCGAGGGUUAAGGUCUGGCCCUAUGCUAAUGGCUUUCUAUGCUUCAAGCCUCUUGAUUCUGACACGUCUUUGGAGGUCUCGCUAGGUUCCUGUUGAAAGUGAGGAAGUCUGGGAGCAGAGGAAGUCCGGCAGUUUGCCCGAGAGCCCGCACAGCUGGGAAGGGGCUCACGUGUCCCGGAUCAGGAUUAUUGCUCCUAAUGGAAGGCUUAAGGAUAUGACGCCCUGGUGCCUAGACAAUGGGAUCUUUUUCCUCAGCCCAGGCCUGGAGUGUGAGCAGCUCCGCAGAGGAAGGAGAAGGGGUGGCUGUGUUAGUCUCUGUUUCUUCCCCUUUCUGUUCACAUCUCUCUGGUCUUAGCAGUGUAGACAGCCCUGGCACCAUUUUGCAAUAGUGUCCUGAGGGACCUGGGAGGUGAGACCAUUCAGGCUAUAUGAAAAGCACUCCUGAGGAUUUGACUUUGUUGGUUAAAGAAUUUUCUCUGACACUUCAAAUAUUAACUUAUUUGAAUUAGCAUCUCCCAUUUGUUUAAGGUAUCUUUAUGAGAUCAGUUAUAGGCAAUGGGAUUAAUCCAAUGAAAAUAAAGAGAAAGUUUUAGCUAGAGAGCAUUAAAAAACUUUUGACCAACUCAAUUUUUUUUCUAAUUCUAAAUUUGACAUAUUUUGGAAAAAUGAUAAAAUGAAUUUCCU
This is a long non-coding RNA of Microtus ochrogaster (prairie vole), 708 nucleotides long. RefSeq lists it as uncharacterized. The record is from RefSeq and is a predicted model, not a curated record. Lineage: Eukaryota; Metazoa; Chordata; Mammalia; Rodentia; Cricetidae.